UUCAGGAGGAGUUUGAUAAAGAGAUGAAUUAAUCAUGCAUAUUUUCAUGUUUUAACGACAUCCCUCCUGAAUCCAAACAGCAGAUUGUUUCGCCCCUUAAUUGGCAAUCGCCCCUCAAUUAAUCUGAGGUUAGCCGGUGCUGAGCUUUAGAUUGAUGUGAGUACGUUAAAGGUCAUUACACCCAGGCUUCUAUCCAACAGGUAAAAUGUGCAUCUAUGAGUGAAAGAGCGUUACUUUAUUUCACACAAAACAUCAAACAUCCAAUGAUAGAUUUUUAUAUGAGCUCUUCCUGCAUUAAUACUGACAUUGGGGUAGUUAAAGCGGCUGUAAAGCACACAGUCUCAGUGUUUGUUUGCUGUGUGUCUGGGGGAGGGGAGGUGUGAAUGAGAUAGAGUCAACGGUCAGGGGUGCCAAAGCUGCAGAGGCACAGAGUUGGCAUUGAGAGCUGGUAUGGGGGGGCGGGUUUCGCCUGGCAGUGUCUGUCUCAUGGAGCAAAGGGACCACAUCUCAAUGACUCCUAAGCUCUCUGUAUUAUGCUAAGACAUGUAUCCUUGAGGGAGCGUGGCUCGCAGUUGAAAGUCACUCAAGGUUGGAGAAUUAACGCAGCUAACAAGAAGAAAGUGGAGACACGCAGCGGCGCUGCAUCUGCGCGCCUUCACAUGUGCAGCUUUCUAAAAUGAUUGAUUAGACUCCGCCUAAUUAACAAAUCAAUACUUGAUGAUCCUUUUCAGACCGAUGAGGCGUGAAAUUUUCUAAAAUGAGUGAUUUACGGUGCCAAACUGCCCGGCUUUAAGAGGCUCAUAAAUAUAGACAUUUGUGGAUGUUUGUGUUUGUGUUAUCAGGGAGUUAAACUGCAUGUGACUCGAUUUCCUCUCGCUGAUAUAUAUCUCUGACACCAGGAGAUGAAUUACACCCUCAGCUCAUUUCCCCCUCCUUCCCAACCUUUACACAAGGUGACCUUGCAUGUAACAUCAUUUACAACUGAAUGACAUGUUUGCUGUUCAUGCCGGGCUGCAUCAAUACUGCCAGUGUUGUGACACAUUGCAUAGUCGGUGUGUAGCGCUAAAUGGUCCAAUUCAAAGCAGGAGGAAUUGUCUUUGCAUCCAUAUGCCUUCCAUCUGCUUGGCUCACGCUGAUCCUUUCUUUCUACAAUGAGACUACAAACGAGUGUGUGUGUGUGUGUCGAGUGUGUGUGUUUGUGUGUAAACGAAGCACAGAUGUCAUUCAGGUGUGAUAAACAGCUUCCAACCCAUCUUUACCUAAACUGUGAGCUCUCCUGCUGCAGAGGAGAAAAACUGAAUUGUUCCGUUUUUUGCAGCUAUAAAACCUUCAGCAGUUACACAAUAAGAAUCAGUCAAAUUCUCCAAACAUAUGCAAAUGGUAAAAUGCUCCACUGGCUGCACUUCUGAGCAAAUCGAGCCUCCGUGCUCCAAUGAUGUUUGCACGUUUUUCAGAAAGUCAUUAUGCACAUCAUCAGGGCAACACAACAGCAGCUCCUCUCUGCAAAAGCCUCUGACUCACAAACAGCUGCACUGGUAACACGCAGUUUGACCUCUUUUUUCACACAUUUACUGCUCUUUGGAAAACUUGCAGAGUUCCUGAAAAUAACUAUAAAUGCAGAAAUACUUUUAAUACAUUUUAGUUUCAAGCAGACUUAUUUCUGUUUGAUGGUGCUCACUUUAGACUCUCCCCUGUCUCUCACUUACGUUGUUUAAAUGAUGUGGCCCUAUGUUGUUUUUACCUAUAUUUUUACCAUCUUUGGAUAUUUUAAAAAAGUGAUUUUUAAACUUUGCACAGAGCGGUGCAUUGAAAACUUAAAAUUUAAUAUAUUUAUUCACCUUAAAUGACAAGGAAAAGCUUGAUUUCUAGGGAAAAUGUAAAUAAACCAAACAUGCACACUCGCUGCACCUCAAAUAUUAGCGAUAACUUCCUUUCAUGCGUUAAGAUAAUUAUUACAAAAAUCUCCAUCUCACUUUAAACUCAUUGCAAGUUCACAAAAGGUCAAAACCUGCAGAAAAAUACAAAAAUAUUUGCCUGCAUGUGAGUGAAGCCUAAAAUUUCUAACAUGCCAGAAAUUCAUCUGACCACUCUGGAGCAGCUGAUUGGCUGUGAUUGUUCCGCAUGACCCCCAGUACGAUUAGACAAACAAGAACAAUCAAUGCACAACGUCUUCAGUGCAGUUUAUAAAUCUGGUCAGAAUCAUCCUCAACAUGCACACCUAAAUCUAGAGAAUUAUUCGGUCUCAUUUUGCUGCAGAACUGGUAUCACAUUUGUUACAACCAGGACUUACAAUAACCCCCCAACACACGUUUAUAAUGUAGACAGAAUGAAACUCCUUCUGCAUGAGAGCGCGGCUCCCGCUGCAGAGAGCGGAGGUGUUGAUGACCUGUCUCCUCAAUCAGACAGAAAAAAUGAGCGUAAGCACUGAGCUGUAGAACUCUAUGAGCCUUAUUAUGCUGGUAUAUCAUCAACGUAAAGCCCUUUGUGAACUGGACCCUGACUGAGAAAACAGCUGCAGCGGUUGACGCACGCUUUAUGGUGAUGUUAGAGCGGCUGCAAACCAAUCUAUGGGAAUUCAUCCUAGUUGAAGGAAUUAAAGGAGAAAUACCUUCCUCGAAACGCCUGGCUUUUGAUUAACUCCACAGCACCUAUAGUCUGAGUCCCACUGGAGCACUUUGACUCCUCUUGUGGUCUAAAUCAAUGACAGUGUCGGCCGCACCCCGCCAUCCUGUCCCCAUGCUCCACCAACCAGAGGCUGAUGAUGUGAAAUAUUGAUUUGCAUGUCCACCCAUAUCACCACGCCUUGGCUUUGCUGUCAAGUUCAUUUAGAAGCAGCCUCUUUAACGGCCCUUUGAUGCCAAGCUCGUGGCAGCAGUCAGAGCAGAGGUGGAGGAGGAGGAGGAGGAGGAGGAGGAGGAGGGAAGAGGGAGAAGAAGAAGAAGAAGAAGUACCUUAAGGCGGAAAACAAAAUACAAACAAGACUGCACAAGAGCGCAGUGCUGUGAAGAGAUUCUCAUAAUCUAUCACUGAGUAUGAAAUUAAAACAAACCCUUUGUUCAGCGGUGGGAGAAGCUCCAUGAGUGUUGCAUUCUGGGUAUAAACCUGCAGCCAUUCAUGCAAAGAGAAUAAGAUACUCGGUGCGUCAAAUGAGCUCGUACACUAUGUUUCCCAAUUAGUCAUUUCAGCAUGGAUACACUCCUCUGCUUCAUAUAAACAGCCAACAGCCUCGCCUCAACUUCAGCUCACACACAGACAACAAAAAACACACACACAGACACAGACACACACACACAAACACACACAGAGAGAGAGAGGGUAAGAGAUGCUGCUUUAUGAGCUGCAGCAGAGACAGGAUGGCCUUUGCAGAAAACAGGAGGUAAAAGGUUAGUCUCCUCUAAGAGAGAGAGGGUCAGUCAUACCUCUGUGGCUCGCUGGUAUACAGACAGAUCUCAGAUUGUAAAAUAAUGCCACAGGAGGCCAUGAGAAAGAUAAAAAGGUGACCUUUUCCUGCAGUGACAAACUGAUGUUAAUGUCUCCACUCCUCUCCCAAACAGCUGUAGUUUACAGUCAACAUGAGAGCACACACUGCAGCAGAGCUGGACGAUCUGGAAUCAGCUGUUAUGACUCAGAGUUUUAAAGUUUGAGGCGUCGAGGUUACCUUAGCAGACUCUGCAGGGUGCUUGGUUCUGUAACCACACGGCACUGAGUUCUAAAUGAGAUAACAAAUGCUCAGUAUCGUCUUUGAAAACAGGUCUGUUUUCUCCCUUCGAACAGGCUGCAGGUUAUAAUAGGAUCACAGAUAGUGAUAGUUGAGACAGACAGCAGACAGACUUCUUACCAGCACGCACCGAGUAUUUGCACUGAUGCAAUGACUGCAGUUUGGUUUAAAAAGGUAAACAAACAGCAAUGUAACUAGUAGGGCUGCAGGAUUCAUUGAUUUUAAAUCUUAAUUUGAUUAUCUGAUGAUGACGAUGUUAAAAAAAUUAAAAUCAUUGAAUCGAUUUUUUCUCUCUAUCAUGUCUCACGCCUCCAGGCCACCGUAGGCUCCCCCAGCUUGUUACAGUUUCAGACGAAGAGCAAACCACUCCCCGCUGCAAAGUCUGUCUGAAGGCGGUAUCAACCCGUCCAAACAAAUUCAGGAGUAAACGCAAAAGAUUUUUGUCGUAUCAUUCACACGGAAACAGCGUUUCGGGUGACUGUAAACUGUAUUUUUUGAAAACGGGUCCAUAGACGACUUUUAUGGCGCCUGUGUAUGUCCGACCAAAAGAGCCUUUAUACACACGCUCUGUGCUCUUCUUUUGUCUUUUGUGCAUUUCCUGUGCAGCGUUACAGCGCCACUUACUGUCUUGGCAUAUGCACUACAUCAUUUUCAGUGGUUUCAUUUUGAAAGAUGGUAGAAAAACUUGUUAUUUUUAAAGUGAAGUUUGGUGAAGCUGUCAAUGAAUAAAAAAUCGAAAUCAAAAAUCGAGAUUUUAUUUUUGGCCAAAAUCGUGCAGCCCUAGUAACAAGUAGUCAGACAGAGACCACUGUUUGAUACUGACUAUGUAUUUAUAAUUUUAACUGUAAUCUUUGUUGCAGACUGCCAACCAAUCACGCCUUUGUCUCUAACUGACGUCAUCACCUUUAUUUUAACUAAUGGAGGGAAAUAAAGAAAAUAGAGUGAGUGCAGAGAGGAGGAAACAGACCAAAUUUCCAAACCUCCAAACAGGACGUCUUUAAAUUUACCCCCAAAUCCUGUCCCAUCAGGUGACAGCAAACUUUCGUUCUUUUCUACAUUUGUUGACGAUAUAGAAAUAAUGUGGUUGCUGUUAGUAACGCCUGGUAAGAGCUGCAGAGUCCAAGAAUAACAUCCAGGCUGUAAAACCUUCCCCCCCUUCUCUCCUGACUGAAAUCAAUCUGCUCCGUCAAUAAGAAGCAGCUCACUCUUGUUUAGAGCUGCUCAGCCUUCAGGGCGAAAACCACAUUUUUACGUUUGAUAUUUGUAACUUUAAAUUUUUGACUUUGAUCAUCUGUAUUUGGACGUAUGAGUUACCUCAGAAAACAUCUGCUGAAAUACAGAGAUAGAUUCACCCAUGGCCUUAUGAAUGUACAGUUUCUGCUCCAUCCUAUCAAAGCUUGUUCUUUCCUUUUUCAAAUCCAUUAUUCUGAAAUAAAAUGCAAAAAUAUUUCUUAUCCAGAUGCCUGAUUUAAUGCUUUUAUGACGUUUUCACUGAAGGUUACAUGUUUAAUCCUGAACGCUUGUUUUUUCAUUAAUAUUUCACGUCCUGUGUUGUUUGUGUGAGGACAAAGGAGGCUGAUUCAUUCGUUGUAUGAGUACAAACAGAGUGACCAUGAACUAUGAACCGUGGAGCCUCUGAGGAAAUCAACAUGACCUCAGAUUCAGGACAAAUUAGAGGUUCGCCGCUCUGUGAAAGACUGCGUGAGCGAACAGUUCGACAGUUCCUGAGAUUAAAAUGUAAAGACUUUGAGGAUUUCAGCAUCUCAACACAGAAAGGGCAAAACCAACAACUGACACUGGAUGACUGAGACCUUCAGGAUCAGGAAGUAACUGCAUUCGCUCGAAAUGCACUCCAGAAAAACUGUGCACUGGUCUGACAAAUCAAUGACCUGGUGGUCUGGGGAUCAUCAGAGUCCAUGUCAUGGGUAUAUUCCACAUCUGUGAAGGCUCCAAUAAGGCUGAACUAGGACUGGGUGAUUAUAUGAUCGUGAUUGUGAUAAAUUUCAGUUCGAUCACGGCUGUGAGCAUAUUUACUCGAUUACACAUAGCGGAAACGUGCGUCACAACAGCCAAUCAGAGUCAAGCUUUUCCUGCUCACUUCUGUAAGUUGUCGGAGAAGAAAACAGGAGAAGUAAACAGAAUGACCGAACAUGGAGAUAAACGUGGAGCUGAGGGCAGCAAGAUAGAUGUCAGCUUUGACUUUGAGUCAUCCUCCAAAGAUGUUAUUUUUGAGAAGUUGUUCAACGUCGGUUGUGUGGCUAUGGUUCGGGUAUUUCCAAAGUGACGUUGAGUAAUUAAGCCGAUAUGUAAGGUAUGUCGGCAAUCGGUGCCUUCAAAAACCGGCAACACAACGAAUCUGUUUAAUCAUUUGAAGAAGUUCUUCCUGAAAAUGUGAGCGGAGUCUGAACAGCCUGUCACUGCUGACGGCACAAGUAGCAUCAGCAGUUUAGCCACAACAAGUGGUGCAGCCACCAGACCAAAAGCAGCGAUCAAUCAUAUCAUCUACGUUUACAUCAUCUAAUGUUUAGAUUUUAAGGCGUCUUCAUUAUCUCUGAGGGGCGAAACGUCCCAAGUAAGUCCAGUUACCCUUUCAACGAAGAACUGGAAAUCAUAGCCGCUGUAUCCUCAUUUUUAGGAGCAACAUCUGCUGCCUUUAUUCUCACUGCUUUGGUCCCUGACAUCUUGAGAAGAGCAGAGUAAUUAUAAGAGUAAUGAUCCAGGUAGAGGGCGAAGGAGAGCGGACACAUCCCCAUCAAAGAGUCCAAAAACCCUCUAGUGUCAAUGUCACCAGGACAUGAAAGCUGAGUCCUUUUUUCUGCUCCUGAGAAGUAGGUCAUAUUUGAACUGGGAGAGGCCAACAGACAGAGCGGGUGGCGAAGAGGUAAAGAAGGGGUUAAAACCCUUUAUUGUUCAGGCGACAUCAGCUCAUCCUGUGUCCCACUUCUAAAGAUUUGCAUCAUCCCCCUAAACCCCGUUUAUUUAUUUAUUUGCAUGGAAAUAUAGGUCACGCAUUCAUACAGAGCAUACAUUUUUAAUAGUUCUGCAGCUUUAAUUCAAAUGUCUGCAAUCUCUGGGUAUGAAUUAAACACAAACAACACACACACACACACACACACACACACACACACACACACACACACACGACGCAGCCCUGCAGAGUCUUUAUAAAAGGUCUGGGGUAUUUAGAAAGCCUCCUGCUAAUACAUCAGUACAUUAUUAAAACUCUCCUCUCCUCCAAGUGUCUGCUAUGAUACCUGGGGUGAAAGGAAAACCAUGACUGGGUUCACACCAAGACGUCAGAUCUGUUCGCCUCCUCUAACCUUUUCCUGCAUGAGUGACGUCUGCUGAGCUUUUUCAAUAACACACGUGUCACUCUGCUGUUCGUUUCUCUCCACUGGCUUCUGGUUGCAGCUCACAUCAAACUCCAAACCCUGCAACGAAAACAAGUCAGAGUCUAGACCCGUCAAUGAUUUACCAAACUCUGUAAGAUCUGCAGAGCCUGUUUCUAUCUUUAAGAAAAAGGUUUCAGACUCAGCUUUGAUCCAAACAGUCCACUUCUACUUCUGAGCUCUUUGGGAAAAACUCAGUACUUAGUAGUUUGGUGCGAAUGCUAAACAUGCAGAUAAGUUUCUCCAGUUAAAUGCUGACAAACCAAAGUCUCGAUGUCGUAUCCUCUGCUGUAAAACCUGGUUGUCCCUCAGACCAGACCCCGAACUAAAGGAGACCGUGCAUCUGAGUUGUUGGGACUGUCCCCCUCUUGAACUGUGGGCUCUGUGGAUGCUUCUAAAAAGCGUUUGAAGACUCAUUUAUUAUUAAAGGUGGGGUAGGUAGGAUCUGAGGAAGUGCCAGUUUUUGGCCCACAAACAGACGCUCCUGCUCGCUCAUAUCGUUCCAAUUAAAUUCAGAUAUAAUGCAGAUAAGUGCAGGAGUGUUUUAUUAUCUUAUUAUCUUAUCUUAAUUCUUAUCUUGUGUCUCAAACUUGUGGAACUUGUUGUAUCUUAACCAUUGCUCUGUGGAACUUGACUGCUUAUUAUACUUAUUUAGCUAUUUACUGCUGAUCCUGCUGAUCUGUGGGUACUGACGAGGGACUGUGUUUGUCUACUGGCUGCUGUUAAUGUCUUGCACUUGUCUGGUUUGUUUGUCGGCUGAUUUGUGUGUUUGGAUGGAUCAAACGGCAGGGGAACUGUGAACGGAAUUGCCCUGAGGGGAUAAAUAAAGUUGUCUGAAUCUGAAUCUGAAUCUGAAUGGAUGGUUUACU
Xyrichtys novacula (pearly razorfish) is the source of this 7976-nucleotide non-coding RNA. The record is from the annotation of a GenBank genome assembly. Lineage: Eukaryota; Metazoa; Chordata; Actinopteri; Labriformes; Labridae.